AUUUAGUUUACAGUUUGUAGAUGAGUUUAGACUAUAAUUUUGUUUAUUUUGGUAUUAUAUUCACUGAGCUACAAUCCUUUAAAGUAGAGCUAUCAAAGUUGAAAAAAUUUAGCUUUUUAGCAAAAUUUUAUAAUCUGUGACGUUUUUUAAACACCCAUAACUCAUUCGUUUUAAGUUGGAUUGACCUACGGUUUUUUCCAACAUUUAGUUUACAAUUUGUAGAUGAAUUUAGACUAUAAUUUUGUUUAUUUUGGUAUUAUAUGCAUUGAGUUACAAUCCUUCAAAGUAGAGCUAUCAAAGCUGAAAAAAUUCAGCUUUUCAGCAACAUUUUGUAAGCUGUGACGUUUUUUAAACACCCAUAACUCAUUCGUUUUAAGUCGGAUUGACCUCCGAUUUUUUCCAACAUUUAGUUUACAGUUUGUAGAUGAGUUUAGACUAUAAUUUUGUUUAUUUUGGUAUUAUAUUCACUGAGCUACAAUCCUUUAAAGUAGAGCUAUCAAAGUUGAAAAAAUUCAGCUUUUUAGCAAGAUUUUAUAAUCUGUGACGUUUUUUAAACACCCAUAACUCAUUCGUUUUAAGUCGGAUUGACCUACGGUUUUUUCCAACAUUUAGUUUACAAUUUGUAGAUGAAUUUAGACUAUAAUUUUGUUUAUUUUGGUAUUAUAUUCAUUGAGUUACAAUCCUUCAAAGUAGAGCUAUCAAAGCUGAAAUAUUUCAGCUUUUUAGUAUUAUUUUAUACUAUAAU
RNAcentral lists this long non-coding RNA (745 nucleotides) under Lactuca sativa (garden lettuce). RNAcentral describes it as "long non-coding RNA (LSAT_LNC001743)". Lineage: Eukaryota; Viridiplantae; Streptophyta; Magnoliopsida; Asterales; Asteraceae. The record is from RNAcentral.